RNAcentral lists this ribosomal RNA (250 nucleotides) under uncultured bacterium. Its description in RNAcentral is "partial 16S ribosomal RNA". It matches the Rfam family "Bacterial small subunit ribosomal RNA", at positions 524 to 773 of the family's 1533-position model. The record is from RNAcentral.
UACGUAGGGAGCGAGCGUUAUCCGGAAUUAUUGGGUGUAAAGGGUGCGUAGACGGGCCAGCAAGUUAGUUGUGAAAUCCCUCGGCUUAACUGAGGAACUGCAGCUAAAACUACUAGUCUUGAGUAUUGGAGAGGAAAGUGGAAUUCCUAGUGUAGCGGUGAAAUGCGUAGAUAUUAGGAGGAACACCAGUGGCGAAGGCGACUUUCUGGACAAUUACUGACGUUGAGGCACGAAAGUGUGGGGAGCAAAC